Molecule: ribosomal RNA, 19 nt
Filed under: Phytophthora lacustris
Lineage: Eukaryota; Oomycota; Peronosporomycetes; Peronosporales; Peronosporaceae
Description: partial 18S ribosomal RNA
Source: RNAcentral
CUGCAAUCAAGGAUAAUUA